RNAcentral lists this ribosomal RNA (460 nucleotides) under uncultured bacterium. RNAcentral describes it as "partial 16S ribosomal RNA". It matches the Rfam family "Bacterial small subunit ribosomal RNA", at positions 338 to 795 of the family's 1533-position model. The record is from RNAcentral.
CCUACGGGCGGCAGCAGUGAGGAAUAUUGGUCAAUGGACGAGAGUCUGAACCAGCCAAGUAGCGUGAAGGAUGACUUCCCUAUGGGUUGUAAACUUCUUUUAUAUGGGAAUAAAAUGUUCCACGUGUGGGAUUUUGUAUGUACCAUAUGAAUAAGGAUCGGCUAACUCCGUGCCAGCAGCCGCGGUAAUACGGAGGAUCCGAGCGUUAUCCGGAUUUAUUGGGUUUAAAGGGAGCGUAGGUGGAUUGUUAAGUCAGUUGUGAAAGUUUGCGGCUCAACCGUAAAAUUGCAGUUGAAACUGGCAGUCUUGAGUACAGUAGAGGUGGGCGGAAUUCGUGGUGUAGCGGUGAAAUGCGUAGAUAUCACGAAGAACUCCGAUUGCGAAGGCAGUUCACUGGACUGCAACUGACACUGAGGCUCGAAAGUGUGGGUAUCAAACAGGAUUAGAUACCCCUGUAGUC